GUGCUUGACCUCCUGACCCCUGGGGAGCAAUGCUUUGGGAAAAAAAAAACAACCCACAAUGGAUUUCAGGAAGUGAACUGGAGUCGACAGGAGCUGGGAGUCAUAGGCGGCGCAGAGCGGAGCAGCUUUCAACACGUUUCACAGACAGAGGGCUGUGGAGCAGCGCAGAUCCAGGCCCGUCUGCUCUCACUCUGCCUUCUGAGGAUGAAAAGAGAAGACUUCAUUACCAGCACAAACCACGCCUCCACCCCUCUUGGUCUCCCUCCUCCUUCUCCACUACCUCCUGGUUUCCCUUCCAUGCUCCCAGGCAGUAGCACGCUCCAGGGCCUGUCCCGACCAAGAGAGGGUGAUCAGACUGCCAAAAGACAAAAAAAAAAAAAAAAAAAAAAAAAAAGAAAGAAAGAAGGAAAGAAAAACUCCUCCUAUCCCACCGCCUGCCAGUGUGUGUAGUGGAAAGGCAGAGAGGGACACAGGAGUUGGAGAAACAGAGAGCCAGCACAUAUAACUCCAUCCACAAACUGUUACGAGGAGUUUUACAUUAAUUAUAUCGUCUCUGACUUGUUUCUGCUCAGUAGUUCUGCCAGUGAAGCAUGACAGAAUGAAAUUAUAGGUAUGAGAUGUGAGUGACAGUGAGAGAAGCUGCAGCUGAGAACGUUAAAGUGAAACAACGAGGUGGGGGAACAGAAGAAGGAAAAUUAAAUUUGGAACAAGGAAAUAUUGUUGAGGUGUGAGGGUGAGGAGACAGACAGGAAGACAGAAAGAAAACCCCAGACAGACGGAGACACACGAUCAAUUAUAAAGUUUCAGAGAAUAAAGCUGAAGGAAAAAAGGCUUGUUCAACCAGAGAUGGUUGGAAGGUCUAAUUAAAACUUACUGUAAGAAAUAUC
Molecule: long non-coding RNA, 887 nt
Organism: Nematolebias whitei (Rio pearlfish)
Lineage: Eukaryota; Metazoa; Chordata; Actinopteri; Cyprinodontiformes; Rivulidae
Exons: 3
Source: RefSeq, a predicted model, not a curated record